Molecule: long non-coding RNA, 999 nt
Filed under: Manacus vitellinus (golden-collared manakin)
Lineage: Eukaryota; Metazoa; Chordata; Aves; Passeriformes; Pipridae
Description: lncRNA (ENSMVIG00005009923.1)
Source: RNAcentral
GGAAUGAGGCUGGGACUGGGGACUGAGGACUGGGGACUGGGUCUGGCAAUGGGAAUGGGAAUGGGGCUGGGAGUGGGGACUGGGACUAAGGACUGGAGCCAGGGCUGGGGCCGGGGCUGGGACUAGGACUAGGGCUGGGAGUAGGGCCGGUACUGGGACUGGAGCUGCUGCUGCCCAGGCCUCCCCAAGGGCUGAGCCAAGGCGGGAUGGGGUUGGGAGGACUCUGAUGGGAAAGGAGCCAAUUGGAAACAGUGGGAUAUACCGGAGGAAUUGACGUCAGUCAGAAAGAGGGAAUUUUGUAAUGGGAAAUGAGACUGUCCAUGUGAAAGGAAGGAAUCAGAUGGUAAAUACAGUGUGGGAGCAGCAGCAUGGAAGAAAUUGGUUUGUAACACAUCAUAAACUGAUCAGGAGUCCAAAAUAUGAUGUUCUGGGGGAAAAAGGUAUCUCUAAAGGGCCCUGGCAAUGAAAAGGAAAAAAUCCACAACCCCUCCUCCAAAGCUCCUGUAUGAUCAAAAGGCUGUGGAGAAUGCUGAAUGAACUAUUACCAUUACUGCCUUAUGUGCAGAGGAUGCUUCAUGCUGCCAACACAUGUUCUUACCUGGCUGUACUGGGCAGACCCUGUGAGCAGCACCAGCUCAUAAGUGACCUGGAGCGUGGACUUGGAGUGAGUUUGAUUUGAGAAUGAGGAUACAGGACCAGUGAUGGGGAGGUCAGAUACUCAUGAGAGAUUGUAAUAGUGGCAUGCGUGUCUGUCCAGACUCAAGCUACCACGUGUCUAGAAGAACCUUUAGGCCUUCUUUAGGGAGGAAAGGGCCUGGCAUAAAAAUACUUUAGGUGUCUCAUCCAUUAAAGAUAACUUUCAGAGCAUGGCCAGGCGAAAUACUUGCUCCUGAAUCUGCAUGUCAGCAGCUCUGGUGUCUGUGCUGUUGUGAGAGCUUCCUAGGAGAGAAUCAGAACUCAUAGACAUGACUGAAUAAAAACCUAUGAUCCGAGAAAUCA